RNAcentral lists this transfer RNA (60 nucleotides) under Pallaseopsis kessleri. RNAcentral describes it as "tRNA-Leu". The record is from RNAcentral. Lineage: Eukaryota; Metazoa; Arthropoda; Malacostraca; Amphipoda; Pallaseidae.
AUCAGAGUGGCAGAUUUAUGCGGUAGCUUUAAAGACUACAGAAGGCUAAGCCCUCCGGUA